Molecule: long non-coding RNA, 229 nt
Filed under: Dromaius novaehollandiae (emu)
Lineage: Eukaryota; Metazoa; Chordata; Aves; Casuariiformes; Dromaiidae
Description: lncRNA (ENSDNVG00000016830.1)
Source: RNAcentral
AGUUGGUACUCUGCUGGGUAGCCCACUGCAGAGAUUUUGGGGUUUGGAUUUUCUUAUUCAUCAUAUUUGCAGACUGUUCAUCCCCUCAGACGUUUUUCAUUGUGGCUUUACAAAUGUUACUCUCCAUUUUAGGUUUUGCCUGGAACAAUCAGUGACUAAGACUGAGGAAAAUGGAAAGCUUGAAAAUAAGGAAAAUACAACACUGAAGAAACAAGUGCUACUGGACUGA